CUUCUUCUCUCUCUUGCAUGGCCGAGCUGCACAUGGAGGGGAAGGGGCUAGGGUUUCAAAUUUUCCUUCUUUGAUUUCUUCAUCAUCCAUCCACCAAAUCCAAUGACCCACCACAUGAAAUUGAUUGGAAACCACUCAAUGAAUCCAUUCCACCUAUCCAUUUGAGCUAUAGUUGAGUGUGUGAAGAGUUAUUCCUCCUCUCAUUUUCGAGUUACUAUUCAUUGGAGGAGAAAAAGUGAGUUUUUGGAUGGAGCUUGGCUUGGAGAUUGCUCUCUAGGCUUUGUACAAGUGUUUAGAGGUGUGCCUAGGGAUUGAGAAGGAUCGGAAAUCUCUUGAAGCGAUAAAAGUAACUUGUUCCACAAGUAAGCGUAUUGGUAAAGCUUCAAGAGGUGCCCAGAUUUCCGGUGAGUCCUCACUAGGCAGGGACACGACACGUGGCUGAGGCAGUUGACAGACCGGAUUUUGAGUGGCUGUAGGCUGCUACCUUUUUGGAGUGUUUGAUGUAUUUUAGUAUUUUCGCAUUUGAUGGAUCAUGAUAUUGAUCCUUUAUUU
Long non-coding RNA from Gastrolobium bilobum, 552 nucleotides. RefSeq lists it as uncharacterized. The record is from RefSeq and is a predicted model, not a curated record. The transcript is spliced from 3 exons. NCBI's taxonomy places the organism in Eukaryota, Viridiplantae, Streptophyta, Magnoliopsida, Fabales, Fabaceae.